RNAcentral lists this ribosomal RNA (861 nucleotides) under Streptococcus salivarius. Its description in RNAcentral is "bacterial SSU rRNA". It matches the Rfam family "Bacterial small subunit ribosomal RNA", at positions 111 to 959 of the family's 1533-position model. Lineage: Bacteria; Bacillati; Bacillota; Bacilli; Lactobacillales; Streptococcaceae. The record is from RNAcentral.
UAACGCGUAGGUAACCUGCCUUGUAGCGGGGGAUAACUAUUGGAAACGAUAGCUAAUACCGCAUAACAAUGGAUGACACAUGUCAUUUAUUUGAAAGGGGCAAUUGCUCCACUACAAGAUGGACCUGCGUUGUAUUAGCUAGUAGGUGAGGUAACGGCUCACCUAGGCGACGAUACAUAGCCGACCUGAGAGGGUGAUCGGCCACACUGGGACUGAGACACGGCCCAGACUCCUACGGGAGGCAGCAGUAGGGAAUCUUCGGCAAUGGGGGCAACCCUGACCGAGCAACGCCGCGUGAGUGAAGAAGGUUUUCGGAUCGUAAAGCUCUGUUGUAAGUCAAGAACGAGUGUGAGAGUGGAAAGUUCACACUGUGACGGUAGCUUACCAGAAAGGGACGGCUAACUACGUGCCAGCAGCCGCGGUAAUACGUAGGUCCCGAGCGUUGUCCGGAUUUAUUGGGCGUAAAGCGAGCGCAGGCGGUUUGAUAAGUCUGAAGUUAAAGGCUGUGGCUCAACCAUAGUUCGCUUUGGAAACUGUCAAACUUGAGUGCAGAAGGGGAGAGUGGAAUUCCAUGUGUAGCGGUGAAAUGCGUAGAUAUAUGGAGGAACACCGGUGGCGAAAGCGGCUCUCUGGUCUGUAACUGACGCUGAGGCUCGAAAGCGUGGGGAGCGAACAGGAUUAGAUACCCUGGUAGUCCACGCCGUAAACGAUGAGUGCUAGGUGUUGGAUCCUUUCCGGGAUUCAGUGCCGCAGCUAACGCAUUAAGCACUCCGCCUGGGGAGUACGACCGCAAGGUUGAAACUCAAAGGAAUUGACGGGGGCCCGCACAAGCGGUGGAGCAUGUGGUUUAAUUCGAAGCAA